UAUAUGAACCACAACUCAUGACGGUUUUUGGUAAUCAGAGAACGGCAAAGGACUUGAUGGACAAGUUUACCAGACAGAGAACUUCUACGAAGAGGGAGCUGGAGAAGACGGCCGAAAGAUGACUGCUUAAGCCACUCAAACUCCAAAAAACCAUCCAAGACAUCGACAAUGUCAAGGAGAUACUCCGGCCUAGAAUAUGAAUUG
RNAcentral lists this long non-coding RNA (204 nucleotides) under Capsella grandiflora. Its description in RNAcentral is "long non-coding RNA (CGRA_LNC000667)". Lineage: Eukaryota; Viridiplantae; Streptophyta; Magnoliopsida; Brassicales; Brassicaceae. The record is from RNAcentral.